Molecule: long non-coding RNA, 10961 nt
Filed under: Hordeum vulgare
Lineage: Eukaryota; Viridiplantae; Streptophyta; Magnoliopsida; Poales; Poaceae
Description: long non-coding RNA (HVUL_LNC001699)
Source: RNAcentral
GAGUACCACGUGAGUUGUAACAAUUGUGGAAAACGAAAAAGAUGAUUGAGUAUGUGGAUUUGCUUUACAAGCUCUUAUUUCACUCUUUCUGAUGUUAUGAUAAAUUGCAAUUGCUUCAAUGACUAUGGACUGUUGUUGGCUACUUCUCGGUAAGGUUUUUGAUUCAUACUUUGCUUUGUGAAGGAAUUGUUACUUUCCCAUAAGAAUCUUUAUGAUGUAUUGCUGUUCUAUGUGUGAUCAUGAUGCCCUCAUGUCCUUAUUAUGUUUUAUCGACACCUUCAUCCCUAAACAUGUGGACAUGUUUAUGGAUCUUGGUUUUCGCUUGAGGACAAGCGAGGACUAAGCUUGGGGGAGUUGAUACGUCCAUUUUGCAUCAUGCUUUCAUGUUGAUAUGUAUCACUUUAUGGACUGUUAUUAUACUUUGUGGUACCAUACUUAUGCCUUUUCUCUCUUAUUUUGCAAGGUUUAUUUGAAGAGGGAGAAUACCGGCAGCUGGAAUUCUGGACUGGAAAAGGAGCAAGUCUGAGUCCUCUAUUCUGCGCAACUCCAAAUGCCCUGAAAAUCAACGUGGAAUUUAUUGGGAUUAUAUAAAAAAUAUUGGGCGAAAGAAGUGCCAGAGGGGAGUUGCCACGGGCCCACAAGCCUGGUAGCCGCGACCUGCCCCCCUGGCCGCGGCUACAGGGCUUGUGGGCACCCUGGUGGCCCACUGGCCCCCCUCUUCUGCUAUAUGAAGGGUUUCGUCCGGAAAAAAAAUCAGGGCGGAGCUUUUUCGUGGAUUCUCCGCCGCCACGAGGCGGAACUUGAGCAGAACCAAUCUAGAGCUCCGGCAGGACGAUCCUGUCGGGGAAACUUCCCUCCCGAAGGGGGAAAUCAUCGCCAUCGUCACCACCAACACUCCUCUCAUUGGAGGGGACUCGUCACCAUUAACAUCUUCAUCAGCACCAUCUCAUCUCCAAACCCUAGUUCAUCACUUGUAACCAAUCUCCGUCUCGCGACUCCGAUUGGUACUUGUAAGGUUGCUAGUAGUGUUGAUUACUCUUUGUAGUUGAUGCUAGUUGGAUUACUUGGUGGAAGAGUUUAUGUUCAGAUCCUUGAGACUACUCAUUACCUCUCUGAUCAUGAUUAUGAUUAUGUUUUGUGAGUAGUUACUUUUGUUCCUGAGGACAUGGGAUAAGUCAUGCUAAUAGUAGUCAUGUGAAUUUGGUAUUCGUUCGAUAUUUUGAUGUGUUGUAUGUUGUUUUUCCUCUAGUGGUGUUAUGUGAACGUCGAAUACAUAACACUUCACCAUUAUUUGGGCCUAGAGGAAGGCAUUGGGGAGUAGUAAGUAGAUGAUGGGUUGCUAGAGUGACAGAAGCUUAAACCCCAGUCUAUGCGUUGCUUCGUAAGGGGCUGAUUUGGAUCCACUAGUUUAAUGCUAUGGUUAGACGUUGUCUUAAUUCUUCUUUCAUAGUCGUGGAUGCUUGCGAGAGGGGUUAAUCAUAAGUGGGAUGCUUGUCCAAGUAAGGGCAGUACCCAAGCGACGGUCCACCCACAUAUCAAACUAUCAAAGUAACGAACGCGAAUCAUAUGAACAUGAUGAAACUAGCAUGACAGAAAUUCCCGUGUGUCCUCGGGAGCGUUUUUCCUCCUAUAAGACUUUGUUCAGGCUUGUCCCUUGCUACAAAAGGGUUUGGGCCACUUCGCUGCACCGUUGCUAUUACUUGUUACUUGUUACUUUUCACCUGCUAUGUUUCACCUCACUACACCAUCACUUGUUAGCGCUACUUUCAGUGCUUGCAGUUAUUACCUUGCUGAAAACCGUUUAUCAGAGCCUUCUGCUCCUCGUUGGGUUCGACACUCUUACUUAUCGGAAGGACUACGAUUGAUCCCCUAUACUUGUGGGUCAUCAGGAUGAUCGAGCAUAGCCAGACAAUAUGAUUUUGUAGGGAUAACUUUCUUUGGCCUUGUAAUUUCGAAAGUUCAUGAUCACUUUGCUAGUUUGCUUGAAGUAUUUUUUUUUCAUGUCAAUAGUAAACUGUUGUUUUGAAUCUUACGGAUCUGAACAUUCAUGUCACAAGGAAGAAGUUACAAAGGACAAAUAUGUUAGGUAGCAUUCCACAUCAAAAAUUCAGUCUUUAUCACUUCCCUACUCGAGGACGGGCAGGAGUUAAGCUUGGGGAUGCUUGAUACGUAUCCAACGUAUCUAUAAUUUUUGAUGGUUCCAUGCUAUUAUCUUGUCAAGUUUGGAUGUUUUGUAUGCAUGAAUAUGCUAUUUUAUAUCUUUUUGGGACUAACCUAUUAACUCAGUGCCAAGUGCCAGUUCCUGUUUUUCCCGUGUUUUGACCCUUUUCAGAGGAGAAUAUCAAACAGAGUCCAAAUGGAAUAAAAUCUUCAGAAUGAUUUUAUCCGUAAUAGAAGAUACGCAGGGAACUUGAGAACAAAGGCAAAGGACCCCGGGGGAGGCCACAAGCCCCCUAGCCGCGACCGGGGGGGGGGGCGCCUACCAGGCUUGUGGGCCCCCCGUGGCUCCUUUGCCCUACUUCUUCCGCCUGUAAAUUCCCUAAAAAACCAAAACUGCCAGAGAGAGCCACGAAAAUACUUUUCCGUUGCCGCAAGCUUCUAUCUCCGUAAGAUCCCAUUUGGGGACCGUUCUGGUUCCCUGCCGGAGGGUGGAUUCGGACACGGAGGGCUUCUUCAUCAACACCAUUACCUCUCCGAUGAUGCGUGAGUAGUUCACCACAGACCUUUGGGUCCAUAGCUAGUAGCUAGAUGGCUUCUUCUCUCUCUUGGAUCUUCAAUACAAAGUUCUCCAUGAUCUUCAUGGAGAUCUAUCCGAUGUAAUCUUCUUUUGCGGUGUGUUUGUCGAUAUCCGAUGAAUUGUGGAUUUAUGAUCAGAUUAUCUAUGAAUAUUAUUUGAGUUUCCUCUGAUCUCAUAUAUGCAUGAUUUCGUAUCCUUGUAAUUCUCUUCGAGUUGUGGGUUUCGUUUGGCCAACUUGAUCUAUAAUUCUUGCAAUGGGAGAAGUGCUUGGUUUUGGGUUCAUACCGUGCGGUGUCCUCACCCAGUGACAGAAGGGGUAGCGAGGCACGCAUCAUGUUGUUGCCAUCAAGGGCAAAAAGAUGGGGUUUAUAUCUAUUGCAUGAAUUUAUCCCUCUACAUCAUGUCAUCUUGCUUAAGGCGUUACUCUGUUUGUUAUGAACUCAAUACACUAUAUGCAUGCUGGAUAGCGGUCGAUGUGUGGAGUAAUAGUAGUAGAUGCAGAAAGUAUCGGUCUACUUAUCUCGGACGUGAUUCCUAUAUGUAUGAUCAUUGCCUUAGAUAUCAUCAUGACUUUGCGCGGUUCUAUCAAUUGCUCGACAGUAAUUCGUUCACCCACCAUAAUAUUUGCUAUCAUGAGAGAAGCCUCUAGUGGACACUAUGGGCCCCGGGUCUACUUCACAUCAUAUUUUCAGCUCUACACUUUUACUUUGUUGCACUUUCCACCUUCAUAUCUCACCUUGCAAUUAAUCGUGAAGGGAUUGACAACCCCUUUAUAGCGUUGGGUGCAAGUUUGCUUGUUUUUGCGCAGGUACAUUGGUGACUUGCCUUAAUACUCCUACUGGAUUGAUACCUUGGUUCUCAAACUGAGGGAAAUACUUACUGCUACUGUGCUGCAUCACCCUUUCCUCUUCAAGGGAAAACCAACGCAAGCUCAAGAGGUAGCAAGAAGCCACAAGUAUGAUGCAACUGUCUCGUCCGACACUAGACCGACCCCAAACAAAACUAUGUUGCGGUGAUGGUUCAGGCCGACGAAUGGAACAAACAGAAGCCUAUACUUGUUAGAACGAUAUGUACUGUCGAACACCACGACACCACCAGAGACAACAUAGUCAAUACGGGAUUGUGGAUCAGCCCAGAAUAUGUUCCUCAAAUGGCCUUCGCUGUCUUUUGUGUAUUUGAAAAAGAAUUUUGGGUCUGAUUUUUUCAGUGCAAUCAUGUAGGUGAGCAAAUAUCUAGCAUUAUUGCCUUCUAUCUUGCGCUUCUUCUGGAUUGAAACAUGGUUCUAUAGGUCUCGAUCUAUAAAUCCAAGCUUGUCGGGACCUCCGGCAUUCUUCUCCAUUACAUUCAUAAUCUGAUGUGUUUGAAGUCCACCGACAGCAUACUCGAUGACAUCGGCCUUUUGUUCGUCAGUCAUUCUACGAUGAGACGAUAAGUAGGGAGUCAGGUCAGCAGGGACAAACAGAUGGUUAUGCUUGUCCACAAAAUUCUUGACGAACCAUAAGCCACUGCUAUCUUGUAGCUCAACCGGAAAAAGAGCGGGACACCCACACCGAGAAAGACCCCUCGGUGUUCUUUUUUUUCAGCUCUUUUAAAGUGCUUAAGGGUCUGCCAUCCUUGUUUGCAGCACUUGUGUGUCCUUCUGUAUGCAUUUUGUUUCGGACCCGGACCCCUGUACUUCAGAUCAUCCUUUCUAACACCAAACCCUUUUUUCUGGCAUAGCCUACGUAAAACAUGUAGGCUUCUACCUCAGUCCCGAAAGUCUUAUUUGCAAUCUCUAAGUAUUCCAUAUACUCAUUCACGUCUGAACCAACCAUGCCUUUAUUAUCAAUUUCUUUACCUUGCAAGUGUACAUCAUCCAUGUCUAUGCCAUCCUUGCAUGCAUACUCAUCUUUAUCAUCCAUUCAUGUACCAUCCAUUCCUUUGGGGUCCAUGGCUACGAAAUCAUUAUCCUUAUCAUCCAUGCAUUUGCCUUCGCUUCCUCUCUCACCCAUGUCCUUGUCAUCCUUGCGUGUAUCCCCCAAAUUUUCGCCAUCGUUGUCUUUAUCAUCCAUGUCGUUAUGCUGCCAACGAAAACAUAUAGUCAAUGUUAUAGAUGGAUAGCAUAAGUAAUAAUUAUGCACUACUCUCCUUAAAUAAUUGAUUUAAGUUUUCAUAUCGGAUUCAUGUAUCUAACCAAGUCCUUCAAAAUCUGUAAGUAAGUAUAAAAUAUGCCCUGACUGAAUCCAUAAAUAUUUAAUUGAUUGUACUUGCUGUAACUGAUGAUCUCCUAACUAAAUCCAAAGUCCACAAAUCCUUCAAGUCCCCUGAUAGAUCCACCCUGAUUGAUCAAUUAUCUCCAAACUCCAUUCAAAUUUUUCUCCUAACUAAAUCCAAAAUUAUGACCUAAGUAAAUCCAAAUUAUCUCCUAACUAAAUCCAAAAUAACUCCAAACUCCCUACAAAAAUAUUUGUCUCCUAACUAAAUCCAAAAUAUCUCGCAACUCAAUUCAAAAGUAUCUCCUAACUAAAUCCAAAAUAACUCCAAACUCCCUACAAAAAUAAUUAUCUCCUAACUAAAUCCAAAAUAUCUCGAAACUCAAUUCAAAAGUAUCUCCUAACUAAAUUCAAAAUAACUUUCUUUGAAUCCAAAUCUGCUGACAACUUUCUCAUGCCACAUAACCCUAACUAACUCCAUCAAUAUGUCCUAUGCAGAAGGGACGAGACAAGAUGAGAGAUUGCAGCGGCACUUACAUCUCAGAGGUGGUUGCGAAGAUCCGACGGGAUGGACAGCGAUGACGAUGAUCUGGCCUCGCGUCAGGGAAGGGGCGUCCAAUCGGGGACGGAGGGGAUUAGGCUGCUCGUCGGAAGAUCUGGCGCCACAUAACCCGAGGGGGAUCGCCUCCGAGCGAGGGGGUGGAGGAGGAGAAGGAGAAGGAGGGACUGGUGCGAGGGAGGGGGUGAAGGGGGAGAAGGAGGAGGAGGGAGUGGCAUGACGUGAUAGGGUUCAAGAGGAGCUGACGAACCACUCUGACGCAAUUCAAGUGUUAUGUUAAUGCAAUUAUUAAUUUGAAAUUUUAGGACAAAAAUGCCCCUAGACUUAAUUGGGCCACCCUAAACUUUAAUAUUCUUAGGUCGAAAAUGCUCUUGGGCUUUAAUAAGGCCCAAUUGAUAUCAUCUGUUGGAUCGCUUAUAUAAUACACGUGUUGUCGUAUAUUAUAAUGUGCCGUAAAAUCUCCCUCUUAAUUAAUUUUUUUUGGGACAAACAAGCAGGCGAUGAAUGUCGAAUAGCCAUAUGGUAAUGUACGCCGGACGAAGACAGAAGAAGAUGGACAAAAGACAUUGUGGUUAUGAUGCGAAACACCAUGAUCAUCGAACAAUCUGUAUGUUGGCCUCCAUUUAACUUAAUUUAAACUGGACUCGGCACGUACCGACAAACCUUAUAUCAGUAUACUACAACCACAUUUAAACUGGACUCGGAACAUGCCCAUAACUUAAUUUAAACUUGAUAUAUUACUAGAAAUAGUUAAGAAUUAAAUGAGUUCUAAAAUUGUGUGAGUAGAGAUAAGAUCAAUUGUGGUAGAUGCAAUAUUUUACUUGAUGUUCUUGUUUUCUUUCCAUGGGUGUUGCUUCAUUUCAGUUCAUUUGCGGCAUGAUUUGACAAUCGAUUGGCUCUGGCUAUCAAUGAUUGGCAAAAAAUUCUUUGGACUACAUCUUAGUCAAGAAUAGUGAACCGUCGCAAACACGAGAGGGCAUAAAGAUAUUUGAUCUUCAUAUGGGUCACGCGUAUUGACGAAUUUUAGUGUGGGCUAGAGACUUUUAGUUAAGUCUCUUCCCUCACCCCCAAUAAGAAAGUUAAUCUAGCAACAAGGAUAAUCAUACUUGAUUAUGGACGCAGGUAGCUAGUGUUCUCCGAAACCCUAGAAGCCACGUAAUUUAAAUCUGCCAAACAGAUUAGAGGACGCCUAACUUGAUUUUGCGGGAUACAUGUCAUGUUGUAUAAUCUUCGUCAUGAUAAUGAGUUUAUGUAUGAGAUGGCUACAUAAUGUAGCAUUAGAUGACAUACACGUCAUAAUACGAAAUGAUGGUUGGGGCCAAGGGAUUUUCACUUUAAUUACGAGUGUGUCAACUUUGUUAUUUUAUUUUUAUCGACUGGAGUGAUGGACGUGCUACGGAGGAGCCCAGAGUAAGGUGGCUUUACUAGGCGCAAGAGAUCAUGGUGGUGGCUACGACAUCACUCUAGAGUAGUUCAUGAAGACCUUGGAGGAUCAUGACCACAUCCCCGACGCCAAGGGCUAUAUUAUAUCAUUGUAUUAUGAAUAGACUGAUAUGUUUAUCCCAUUGUUGUUUGCACCCUUUGAUUGUGCGGUAGUCAAUUAUUAGGGUGACCUCACACUAGAAAGCAUCAAGUUGUUAGUGCUCUUCCUAGUGUAGCAACCAUCUAUAACACGUAGCUUUUCGUGGUACGUCAUGUCCACAUGAGUACUUUGGAUCGCGGGUGUAAGGCGGGUGAAGGCAUGGCAGAAACACUUAGUUGUCUUGAAGUUCUAGUAAAAUCAUUGUGCACAAAGCAUCGAAAAACAAACAAGAGUCACAUGGAGAUAUGAUCGGCAAAAUUUGCCUACCUCUUGAAGUUCACGUCAUCAGUGAUGCCCACAUCAAUGGUUGUGAAUAAUAUUAGGGUCUUGAAUCACUUAAAUCAAUUAUGAGAGAUAUUGGUUUGAGUGAGAGCACAAUUAUGAAUUAAUUAAGUUUAAUCAUAAGUGCAUAUAAUUAUGGGUUAACUUAAGCGAAAUUAGAAGGACACAUCUUAAAGCGAAACUAUCGGUUAACUUCUUCUUGAGCUAGCUCCUUUCUCCUUGUUGUUUUUUCUCCCUUGAUAUUUCCCUAUGAUAUUUCAAUACAAGGUCAAUUUUGGUACCAGUGUAAUAGAAAAUAGAGUGUAUUGGAAAAAAUAGCGGAAAUAAUUUCAUCACCUAGGGAUAUUUUAGUAGCUCUUAAAAUAGAACAUUAGAAGGAUAAUUAUUUAUUAUGUGUAUGAGAUAGGAAAAUUUACCAUAUGGCAGGUGUAUAGUCUAUAUUUCCUAAUUUUGCAUCUUCCUUCAUUGACUCACUGGUGAGGCGUGCAUGAUUGUGUCUUUCAGCCCCAUCUUAAUUCAUCCUAUUGCGUCAGAUAUCCAGGGACCAUCGUGUAUGUAGUGUGUCAUCCUGAAGGAAGGGAUUACAAAUUUAGAGCAAGUUCUGAAAAGUGACGGUGUAUAAUUGUAAUACUUAAAAUAAACAAAUGCAUGUUCUAACAUGCCGAAAGAAGGCACUAAAAAGUAUAUAGUUCUUCCUUUGUGUUUCCGUAGCCAAGUUUAGCCCAAGGUUCAAAAAAAAUAUAACGCAAUUCACUACGACAAUAGAAGAAAUGUUGAAGAGUACAAUUACAACUCUAAAAUUGAACCUAUUCAUAAGCAUGUGACAAUUGUAGGCUCAUAAGAGAAAUAAUAGAUGAGAAGAACAACCAAGUCAAAUUUAGGUAGAUUUUAAAACUAGGUAAAUAGGAACUUGCAAUGUAAUAUAAAAAUUGCAGACAAUGAUGAAGAUGAAGGAACCUUAUUGAUCAAAGAAGACAUUUAGGAUCAAAUGCAACUUGACACCAUGCAUGAUGAAGCAUUAGGUGAAAGCGGCGCAUUUUUCGGAUAAUCCAUGUUGCAUUCCAAUAGUUACAAAACAUAAAUAGUGAUGCCAAAUUGGGAUGAAAAAUGAGAAAAAGAAAUAGUUGUGAGAGGUCUUUGUAUUUGCACUUCACGUACUACCUUCGUACUUGUGUAAACUGGUCAUCUUUAAACAUGAUCAACUCCCAACACUGUAUGACCAAUCAUGCCAACUGCAUUGCAACUUGUUCUCGUGUCUCCUCUUACUUCACAUUUCACUUACUCCCUCCAUCUCGGUUUAUAAGUCUUCCUAGGUUGUGCACCGUAACCAAGACGGAAAGUAAAACAAGAGAAAUUAAUGUUAACUUGCUAAUUAAUACGAUUGCAUGCAAUGAAUUGACUAAUGCAUGUCGUGCUAGUUAGUAUCAAGUCAUUAAAAACACACAUGUCCCCCGUCUCUUAUUGGUUGAUUUUUUUAUUCAAGUCAAAAAAACAAACGAGGUGAAAGUUAAUGUAUUGUGCCUUAGUGUUUUGGGAUUAUUUGAUUUUCGUAAGAUAACUUAUAAAUCGAGAUGGAGGAAGUACUAAAUUUAUCAAGCAUGGAAUUUAUGUUAUGUAAUGAGCAUUUUUAUAGUCAGAAAAAGAUUUUUUAGUCAAACAUACGAAUGGUAGACUUUUGGUGCACCUUUAAAGAUCAUUAAUGCGAAAUACCAUAGGAAUUCGGUCUUUUAUGGUCUUUUGUGUUAGUUUUCGGUCACACAAAGAGAUCGUUGUAAUGUCCUCCUCCUUCUGGUGCACUGGCAUUUGGUCUGGCGUCUGCCGAAACCGACUUAUCCAUGGACUUGUUUUAUGGGCACGGAAGAAACACAAAAGGUUGAUUUUUUUUUUCUAGUUUAAAAGAAAAGGUUGAUUUUUUCCUUUUUAUAGAACUUCAUUCAACACAAAAUAGCAAGCUGUUUUGAUGCACCUUUCCGUUCGUAAAGGAUGACGAGGCAUCAAUCAUCUCAUUUUUUCCAGCUUUAAAUAAACUAUGAAGAUCGGCUGGGCUAGCAAAUCCACUAGCAUGGGCACCGACCACUAAUAAUGGGCCAAAGCAUUUGUCUAAGUUUAUACUUCCUCCAUCCCUUUAUACAAGGCCAUCAUGAAAGAUAUAUUUUACAUACAUCUAUAUAAAGCUACUAACAGUUAGUAAGGCAAAAAUUAAUGUUGUUCUCUUGUAGUAACAACUUACUCCCUCCAUUCCUUUAUGAACUAACAGUUAGUAAGGUAAAAAUUAAUGUUGUUCUCUUGUAGUAACAACUUACUCUCUUCAUUUCUUUAUGAAAGGUCUAUUAUUUUCGCGCAUAAUUAUACAUGUUAAGACAAAAUUAACCUUGGCUAAAUCAUUGAUUAGAGGCAAUAAAAUUAUUUAGGCUAGAAAAGUAAGAGAUACACAUGAGAGAUUCUUUCCUUCUUCUCUUUAUAAUAAGAGAUGCAUGCAAUCAGAGGAGAGAUAUUUCUUUUUUUAAGGGCUAAUGAUGGAAUUACAAAGAAUUAGAAGAAAUGCACCUUACAUUGUGAAAUUUUAUCAAAAAACAAAUACACCUUAUAAAGGUUCCUUUAUGAAAGGUGUAUUAUUUUCGCGCAUAAUUAUACAUGUUAAGAUAAAAUUAACCUUGGCUAAAUCAUUGAUUAGAGGCAAUAAAAUUAUUUAGGCUAGGAAAGUAAGAGAUACACAUGAGAGAGAUUCUUUCCUUCUUCUCUUUAUAAUAAGAGGUGCAUGCAAUCAGAGGAGAGAUUUCUUUUUUUAAGGGCUAAUGAUGAAAUUACAAAGAAUUAGAAGAAAUGCACCUUACAUGUGAAAUUUUAUAAAAAAAUAAAUACACCUUAUAAAAAGGAACAGAGGGAGUAUUUAAUAAGUACUACAUGUAGUCAUAAUGACACAUAGUUUUUUUCCUUCUCAUUCCUUUCUUGAAUAAUGGUCCUGGUUAAUGAAAAAGAAAAUUUGAUUUACAAAACAGUCAUUAAUUUUUACCUUGUUAAAUAUGAGUUUGUGGCUUUUAUAGAGGAAUGGAGGGAGUAGCGGAUAUUUUGUCUGUUGGUGUGGCAAUGCGACGUAAUCCGUAAAUGCUAAAAUGCCGGCCUACCAACUACCCCUCCGGGAUAAAGAUUUCGAUGGUCCCAGUGGCUGCUUAUGGUGUGCCGCGUGCCCCGUGUGUCCCUCGUUGAAACGGGCCGGUGAUCUAACACUGAAGCAGCAGCAAUUAGCACAGAGCAUACAAGGCAUCAGAUUUGAGCAAGACGACUAUAUUACCGAAGAGCAAUACAAGAUACAGUGGUCAGUGGACACUGUGACACUACUGAGCCCAGUGGGGUACCAGCCACAGCACACUUCCGACUUAACCUGACGCGACUCACCGUAGAGUACCAACUGACUACCAGCUACGAUUCUACGAAGCACACAUGACCAUACUACGUACGAUCGCCUACGUGCGCCUGAACUACUACAUUAUUCGGUGCAUGGACACUAGGGUAAACCAACGGCCGACCUAAGCAGAGUCGUCUUGCUUGCUAGGCUACGUACGCACUGGUCGAUUCAUCAUCUAGGACUUAGUCUUGAACUUGGACUCG